Molecule: ribosomal RNA, 459 nt
Filed under: uncultured bacterium
Lineage: Bacteria
Description: partial 16S ribosomal RNA
Rfam family: Bacterial small subunit ribosomal RNA
Source: RNAcentral
CCUACGGGAGGCAGCAGUGAGGAAUAUUGGUCAAUGGGAGAGAUCCUGAACCAGCCAAGCCGCGUGAGGGAAGACGGCCCUAUGGGUUGUAAACCUCUUUUGUCGGAGAACAAAACCCGGGACGUGUCCCGUACUGCGUGUAUCCGAAGAAAAAGCAUCGGCUAACUCCGUGCCAGCAGCCGCGGUAAUACGGAGGAUGCGAGCGUUAUCCGGAUUUAUUGGGUUUAAAGGGUGCGUAGGCGGUACGUUAAGUCAGCGGUAAAAUUGAGGGGCUCAACCCUGUCGAGCCGUUGAAACUGGCAGACUUGAGUUGGCGAGAAGUACGCGGAAUGCGCGGUGUAGCGGUGAAAUGCAUAGAUAUCGCGCAGAACUCCGAUUGCGAAGGCAGCGUACCGGCGCCAGACUGACGCUGAGGCACGAAAGCGUGGGGAUCGAACAGGAUUAGAUACCCUGGUAGUC